UAAAGGAUAGCGCUUUUAUGCUGGGAUGGAGGGCGUAGGAGAUCACCCUGGAUGCAAGCUCUAGGAGUCUGCUGGUACCCCGAAAGGCUACCAAGCUCGGCACCAGUUCUUUGUGUAUGUACUCGCGCACGCCCUGCCGAUGGUGUGGACCACAAGAUGCAAUAGCGAAACCUUUAUGGGACUGUGUUUUCCUUUGUUAUUUGUCUCUGUCUGCUCGCUUGGUGGGUAGCAAUGGAUUGGGAAAGAACUUCUGCAGGGAUGAUUCUUUGGUUGGGAAAGACUAUACUUGAAGGAAGCCAGCACAGAUCAAUGAUCAGAACUUGAGGUGGGAUUCAAGAGCAAGAACAUCAUUUGGAAACUUCAUGGAGCAUCAUUGAGAGAGAAAACAGCACAGUGAAGGAGCAUGACUUGGUUCCAUGCUGCACUGCAAUUAAAUACUCUAGACUAGACCAUUUGUAAAUAA
This is a non-coding RNA of Peromyscus maniculatus bairdii (prairie deer mouse), 463 nucleotides long. The record is from RefSeq and is a predicted model, not a curated record. Lineage: Eukaryota; Metazoa; Chordata; Mammalia; Rodentia; Cricetidae.